RNAcentral lists this ribosomal RNA (770 nucleotides) under uncultured bacterium. RNAcentral's name for it is "bacterial SSU rRNA". It matches the Rfam family "Bacterial small subunit ribosomal RNA", at positions 61 to 820 of the family's 1533-position model. The record is from RNAcentral.
GUCGAGGGGCAGCAUGGUCUUAGCUUGCUAAGACUGAUGGCGACCGGCGCACCGUUGAGUAACACGUAUCCAACCUGCCGUCUACUCUUGGACAGCCUUCUGAAAGGAAGAUUAAUACAAGAUGGCAUCAUGAGUCCGCAUGUUCACAUGAUUAAAGGUAUUCCGGUAGACGAUGGGGAUGCGUUCCAUUAGAUAGUAGGCGGGGUAACGGCCCACCUAGUCUUCGAUGGAUAGGGGUUCUGAGAGGAAGGUCCCCCACAUUGGAACUGAGACACGGUCCAAACUCCUACGGGAGGCAGCAGUGAGGAAUAUUGGUCAAUGGGCGAGAGCCUGAACCAGCCAAGUAGCGUGAAGGAUGACUGCCCUAUGGGUUGUAAACUUCUUUUAUAAAGGAAUAAAGUCGGGUAUGCAUACCCGUUUGCAUGUACUUUAUGAAUAAGGAUCGGCUAACUCCGUGCCAGCAGCCGCGGUAAUACGGAGGAUCCGAGCGUUAUCCGGAUUUAUUGGGUUUAAAGGGAGCGUAGAUGGAUGUUUAAGUCAGUUGUGAAAGUUUGCGGCUCAACCGUAAAAUUGCAGUUGAUACUGGAUAUCUUGAGUGCAGUUGAGGCAGGCGGAAUUCGUGGUGUAGCGGUGAAAUGCUUAGAUAUCACGAAGAACUCCGAUUGCGAAGGCAGCCUGCUAAGCUGCAACUGACAUUGAGGCUCGAAAGUGUGGGUAUCAAACAGGAUUAGAUACCCUGGUAGUCCACACGGUAAACGAUGAAUACUCGC